Onychomys torridus (southern grasshopper mouse) is the source of this 104-nucleotide small nuclear RNA. NCBI's taxonomy places the organism in Eukaryota, Metazoa, Chordata, Mammalia, Rodentia, Cricetidae. The record is from RefSeq and is a predicted model, not a curated record.
GAGCUUUCAGCAGCACUUAUACUAAAAUUGGAAUGAAACAGAGAAAAUUAGCAUGGCCUCUGCACAAGGAUGACACGCAAAUUUGUGAAGCAUUCCUUAUUUUA